RNAcentral lists this ribosomal RNA (460 nucleotides) under uncultured bacterium. RNAcentral's name for it is "partial 16S ribosomal RNA". It matches the Rfam family "Bacterial small subunit ribosomal RNA", at positions 338 to 795 of the family's 1533-position model. The record is from RNAcentral.
CCUACGGGAGGCAGCAGUGAGGAAUAUUGGUCAAUGGGCGCGAGCCUGAACCAGCCAAGUAGCGUGAAGGAUGACUGCCCUACGGGUUGUAAACUUCUUUUAUAAAGGAAUAAAGUGAGGCACGUGUCCCUUUCUGUAUGUACUUUAUGAAUAAGGAUCGGCUAACUCCGUGCCAGCAGCCGCGGUAAUACGGAGGAUCCGAGCGUUAUCCGGAUUUCUUGGGUUUAAAGGGAGCGUAGAUGGGUUGUUAAGUCAGUUGUGAAAGUUUGCGGCUCAACCGUAAAAUUGCAAUUGAUACUGGCAGCCUUGAGUACAGUUGAGGUAGGCGGAAUUCGUGGUGUAGCGGUGAAAUGCUUAGAUAUCACGAAGAACUCCGAUUGCGAAGGCAGCUCGCUGGACUGCAACUGACGCUGAGGCUCGAAAGUGUGGGUAUCAAACAGGAUUAGAUACCCGAGUAGUC